UACGGAGGAGGCAAGCGUUAUCCGGAAUGAUUGGGCGUAAAGAGUCCGUAGGUAGCAUUUGAAGUCUUCGGUCAAAGACAGAAGCUUAACUUCUGAAAGGCCGUGGAAACUCAAGAGCUAGAGAGCGGGAGGGGCAGAGGGAAUUCCCAGUGUAGCGGUGAAAUGCGUAGAGAUUGGGAAGAACACCGGUGGCGAAAGCGCUCUGCUGGACCGCAUCUGACACUGAGGGACGAAAGCUAGGGGAGCGAAU
This 250-nucleotide ribosomal RNA is filed under the name uncultured bacterium. RNAcentral describes it as "partial 16S ribosomal RNA". It matches the Rfam family "Bacterial small subunit ribosomal RNA", at positions 524 to 773 of the family's 1533-position model. The record is from RNAcentral.